This 78-nucleotide transfer RNA is filed under the name Lolliginicoccus lacisalsi. RNAcentral describes it as "Hoyosella lacisalsi tRNA-Leu". It matches the Rfam family "tRNA". From Rfam's summary of the family: Transfer RNA (tRNA) molecules are approximately 80 nucleotides in length. The record is from RNAcentral. Lineage: Bacteria; Bacillati; Actinomycetota; Actinomycetes; Mycobacteriales; Hoyosellaceae.
GCCCCCGUAGCCCAAUUGGCAGAGGCAAGCGGCUUAAAACCGCUCCAGGUGUGGGUUCGAGUCCCACCGGGGGCACCA